Gasterosteus aculeatus aculeatus (three-spined stickleback) is the source of this 4968-nucleotide long non-coding RNA. NCBI's taxonomy places the organism in Eukaryota, Metazoa, Chordata, Actinopteri, Perciformes, Gasterosteidae. The record is from Ensembl.
AAGGUGGUGAAAAAAUGGAGGUGGUAAAAGGAAGGAGGUGGUUAAAAGAAGAACGAGGUGAAAUGAUCGGGGUGGUAAAAGGAAGGAGGUGCUGAAAGGUUGUAGGUGGUAAAAAGAAGGAGGUGUUGAAAGGAUGGAGGUGGAGAAAGGAUGUAGGAGAUAAAAGGAUGGGGGUGGUGGAAGGAUGUACAAAGUGAAAGGAUAUAGGAGGUAAAAGGAGGGAGGUGGUAAAAUGAAGGAGGUGGUGAAAGAAUGAGGUGGUGAAAGGAAGGAGAAGGUAAAGGAUGGAGGAGUUAAAAAGAACGAGGUGGUGAAAGGACGGAGGUGGUAAAAAGAACGAGGUGGUGAAAGGAUGGCAGAGGUCAAAGGAUGGAGGUGAUGAAAAGAUGUAGGAGGUAAAAGGAUGGAGGUGUUUGGAAGUAAAAAUGAUGCCAUGAUGCCAUUUUUCUAGGCUUGCGUCGAAAGCGACACAAGCGACGCAGCCUCCCGCAGCGCACCAGGCUGUGAUUGGUCCGCUAACUACGUCCUUUACGGAGUCUCACAUUUCCGCUUUCAUAGCCCGAUAGCACCAUUAUUAAAAAGAAGAAUGUUUACGAGAGAACGGAGCAGAUUGAAGAACUUUUGUCGGAAGAAAUGCGCAAAUAUGACCGCUUAUACAAGCCGUCAUUGGCGGGUUGUAGAAGCGGGUCGGAUUCAUAGUAGUAGUAGGAUUCAUAGUAGUAGUAGGAUUCAUAGUAGUAGUAGGAUUCAUAGUAGUAGUAGUUUGAGCCUUCAGUAUUCAGCGGAAAGACAGAUCUUCAGUCAAAGUCCUGCUUAUCACAGCCUAAUGCCCAUUCAACCACUAAACACACAUGCACACACAGUUAAGAGGUUUGAGCCUACUUUUGUCAUCAAACGGUUCUGUUAGGACCAUGAGGGCCCCAGGGGCCCCUAUCAGCGCUGACAGACAUGUUAGUGUUUACGCUCUCCAACACACACACACACAAACAGACACUUUUCUUUUUUAUGGCUUCCCUUUGUGUAUUUUGUUUUGCACAGUUUUAAAACUAAACUAAAAGACUGUAUUCUAAACUUUAAUAGAAAGAAUGAAAUACGAGUUAAUAAAGAAAUAUAGUAAAUCCUUAUGAAUAACCAGGCGAAUAAUAAUAAAAGAUAAUAAUAAUAAUAAUUAAAGAUGCAAGCAGCGAUGAACGGGCCUUCGCCUCCCCUAGCACUGGCAGCGGUCAGCCGGACACACGUUGAAAAUGAAAAAAAUAGAGUGGUAGGUGUGGGAUUCAAACCAGUGUCUGGCUUUAUUUUGCCACUUUGCCACUAGGCUACUGGCACUAAAAUAUGUGGGAUCACCUCCAUUCAGUCAAGGCAGGGAACAGGAGCUAAUCACACAACUUCUGCUCCACAGAGAAGUAUUAAAUUGUGAAAUACACGCCUUUCUGAUUGAGGUGAGGUCUGACAGAUAUAUUUAGCGAACUGAACACACUGAAUGUGUCUCUGCAGAACAAAGUCACCAACAUUUAAAGCUGUAUAACAAUGUCGGUGGCUUCCUGAAGAGAGCAGAGCUGUGGUCAAGUGACUGCACAGACCUCUGCUUUAUCAAGUGGAUAAUUUCUCUCCAGUGAGGAGUUGGACAGAGGUCCAGUCAUGUCAGUCACAGUGGGACAUUUGACCAACAUGAAGCUUAGGCGUAAAUUCAGUCAGGAAGACUGGACAGGCUGUGCCGUUCCCUGGUGGCCUCCUCUCUCCCUGGGGGUGCACGGCCAGCUGAUUAGGGGCGGGGUCGGGUAGUAUCAGACGUGGGUGUCGUUACCGUAAACCAAUCGCAUUGGUGCAGGCAAACGUUAAAAACUGUUCUCCUCUCUUUUGCUGUCAGUUGUCAUUUCAGCACGCUCCGAAGAUGACCCGCCACCACCCCUGACACCAACAAUCUACAGCAGAACCUGGCAUAUCAGGAGAUUUAUGCAACUUGGGCUCUACCGCCACCACCACCACCACCACCAGUGUCUGGACUCCCAAAGGGGGGGAUACUGUAUGCCUCGUCUCGGCUCGAGAUCCCGGCCCCUGGUCCAAGCCCCAAACAACUUGCAAUAUCAUAUUAUGCCUUUUAUAAUAAAGCAUGGUUCAAAUUCUCUCCGGAUUUAAUUGUUUUUAAGCCUACUCUGCUGAUGUGAAGGAGAAAUCUGCAAAGCUGGAUUAAAUAUGUGGCCUCCGAAUGAGUGCACCUAGAUCAAAGCAGUUACAGGGACUGCUUUAUGAAUAUGUCUGGGUGGCGCUAUCAAGCUAAAAUGCCAUUAUGAAGAAUCAAAAUUACACGAAGUAUCUAAAUCUUUAACGUUACAUUUAUAUGCCAAGUUUAGUUAACAUUGGAGCAUAUUUAGUCCCUUAAAAGCACCUUGGAAGGGUUUUCAUUAUUUAGUGAGACUGAAAUGACUUAGACAGUUGUAUUCAUACACAUGUUUAAAAGAACGUUGUAUUUUGUUUUUAUAAUUUGUAUUUAUAGUAGUAUUUUGUAUUUGGUUGUCUCAACCUUCACUUUUAAAGGACUUUCUGUUUACCUCAAUCAACACACACACACAGACACAAAUUUAUUUAGCGUCUGUAGAAGACAAAAGCAUCACUAGCUGUCUAAACGUCGCCUCAGCAGAAACUAAACUAGUAACAUCUCAAUUCUCUGUUGAGUCCCCCACCCCACACACACACACACACUUACACACACAAGUACAAAUAAACUCAACACUCAAAUAAAUACAGAUUAUAACCGAAGACUGAACAUGUUUUUGCCAUCAGCCAAAACAAAAACGUUCAAUUCUUGGCAGAAUCAAAACAGCCAACAUUUCUACAGUUUUCUGUCACACAGUUUGUCUGUGAUGAUUGUUUAAUGUUAUUGUUGUCAUACACAAUAAAAACAACAUCGCAUUAGCAUUUAACUAAAAUCGUUACUGUUGGUAACGGCACAUUUGUAAUGUCGCUUUUCGUAACGUCGCUGCUAAUAACGCCGAUGCUAAUAACGUCGCUGCUAAUAACGUCGUUGCUCAUUAUGUCGCUGCUUGUAACACCACGUUUGUAACGUUACUUUCUGUAAAGUUGCUUUUUGUAACGUCCAUGUUCGUAACGUCGCUGUUUGUAAUGUCGCUCACCAUAUGUGACCCUGUUUCCAUGGUAACUGAUGGAUGUAUAGGAGCGACUUUGGAUGCAAUGUUAAACACACUGACAUGCACACACACACACACACACACUCUCUUUGGUGACCUUUGAUGAUGAUGAAAGACAAAUGUCAGCAGUGAAACUGUUUAAUGUGGACUUUAACGCUGAAGUUGGGACACUAAGAAACAGCAGCAGGAGGUCAGCGGGAAGAGCAGACUCUCAGUUCACACCGGGGAAGGAGGAGGAGAGAGGAAGAGAAGUAAUGGGAGGAGGACAAAGAGGUGGAUUAGAAGGAAGUGCCUUAGGUUGUGGUUCUCUGAACCCGUCCUGAAGACAAACCUCAGUUUAAUUUUUACAACCACAACUCUUCUCCUCCUCCUCCUCCUCCUCUGUCAUCCCUUUGCCCUUUCCUCCCUUCCUCAUCCUCCUCUCAUAACCUUCUAUAUCCUCCUUGCUCCUCUUUGCUCUCCUCUGCCUCCUUCUCUCUCUUCCUCGUUCUCCUCUCUUAUCCUUUUGCUCCUCCCCCUCCUCCUCCACCUCUCUUCCUCUCUCCUUUCUCUUCUCUACAUAAUAACCUUGUUUUAAACUCUAACCUUUAUUUUUCACCGGCCUCUUUUUCUUUUUUCUUUCUUCGGUAUGGAAACUGAAUUUCAGUGUGUGUCUGUGUGGUAUAUCACGGUGUGCGUUGCCGCGGUGACGGGUAAUGGGAAAUUGAUUGUGACAAAACGACAUUACAGACGGACAUUUCCAUAUGAGUUUAUUUAUGCCGUGUUUCCGUGGGGACCGUUGCGUGCCUCCAUAUUUGAUUCUGGGUUGCCGGGGCAAUGAUGUGAUGCGGGCCGGCCAACGCGGCCUCUUGGGGAAUCGAACCCACAGCAUCCGCUAACAAAUGAACAGCCCCGCCGUCCUCUUUUCAUUUCACGUCAGCGGUGCUUCGGUUGCCGCAUGCUCACUCAAAUCAACACUUAAUUUUAUUCCCAUGAUGCUUUGCUGCACAGUGGCGCUGGCGUUUGGUCGGCGGUUUAUUGGCAGAUAUGAAGCUGCCGCGCCGCAGUAAUUAUGGGAUAUAAUAACCCGAUGUGGUCCAUGUAAAUAGAAACAAAUCAUAUGUGUAUAUAUAUAUAUAUAUAUAUAUAUGGACUGAACGGAGGCGCAGUGGCUGAUGGGGUGUAAUAUCUGACGGCAAAUUUCUUUCCAUCCAAUCGGACAACAUUCAUGUUUAUUUGUUUUCAUACCCAAAGUUUAAAUUUAAAAACUCAUAAAAGGAAACUUUUCUUCACCCUUCAGGGCUCUUUUGAAGCCCCAAAUGUUCUUGCAUUGACCUGAAUAUCAUCAUAUAUCAGACCAGUGAGAAACCAGUGAAACAAAUCAAAGACCAUUGAGACCAAUCUGACCGCAGUCAGACCAUUGAGACAGUCACAUAAGAGUGAGACCAGUCCCAGAUGAGUGAGACUAGUCUGAGACCAGUGAAACCAGUCACAGCCCGUGGGACCAGUCCCAGAUGAGUGAGACUAGUCUGAGACCAGUGAAACCAGUCACAGCCCGUGGGACCAGUCCCAGAUGAGUGAGACUAGUCUGAGACCAGUGAAACCAGUCACAGCCCGUGGGACCAGUCCCAGAUGAGUGAGACUAGUCUGAGACCAGUGAAACCAGUCACAGCCCGUGGGGCCAGUCCCAGAUGAGUGAGACUAGUCUGAGACCAGUGAAACCAGUCACAGCCCGUGGGGCCAGUCCCAGAUGAGUGAGACUAGUCUGAGACCAGUGAAACCAGUCGCAGCCCGUGGGACCAGUCCCAGAUGAGUGAGACUAGUCUGAGACCAGUGAAACCAG